Molecule: ribosomal RNA, 440 nt
Filed under: uncultured bacterium
Lineage: Bacteria
Description: partial 16S ribosomal RNA
Rfam family: Bacterial small subunit ribosomal RNA
Source: RNAcentral
CCUACGUGCGACAGCAGUAGGGAAUAUUGCUCAAUGGGGGAAACCCUGAAGCAGCAACGCCGCGUGGAGGAUGAAGGUUUUAGGAUUGUAAACUCCUUUUGUUAGAGAAGAUUAUGACGGUAUCUAACGAAUAAGCUCCGGCUAACUCCGUGCCAGCAGCCGCGGUAAUACGGAGGGUGCCAGCGUUACUCGGAAUCACUGGGCGUAAAGAGUGCGUAGGCGGGGUAAUAAGUCGGUUGUGAAAUCCUGUAGCUUAACUGCAGAACUGCAUUUGAAACUGUUACUCUUGAGUAUAGGGGAGGUAGGUGGAAUUCGUGGUGUAGGGGUAAAAUCCGGAGAGAUCAAGAGGAAUACUCAUUGCGAAGGCGACCUGCUGGAACAUUACUGACGCUGAUGCACGAAAGCGUGGGGAUCAAACAGGAUUAGAUACCCGUGUAGUC